Molecule: ribosomal RNA, 254 nt
Filed under: uncultured bacterium
Lineage: Bacteria
Description: partial 16S ribosomal RNA
Rfam family: Bacterial small subunit ribosomal RNA
Source: RNAcentral
GCAAGUCGAGGGGUAACAGGGAAAGCUUGCUUUCUGCUGACGACCGCGCACCGGUGCGCACCGCGUAUGGAACCUACCUUUUACAGGGGAAUAGCCCAUGGAAACGUGGAUGAAUGCCCCGUAGUACUAUUGAAUGGCAUCGUUUAAUAGUUAAAGGCUUCGGCUGGUAAAAGAUGGCCAUGCGUCCCAUUAGUUAGUUGGUAAGGUAACGGCUUACCAAGACUACGAUGGGUAGGGGCCCUGAGAGGGGGAUC